GUUUUGCCUUUUUAGCUCACCUGGACCAGAGGGUUAAGUGAGUUUUUUUUCAUCACUUGGCAUCCGUCGUCGUCGAUAACUUUCAGAAAAUCUGAAACUAAUGGCAACAUUAAAGCAAAUAUGGCCACAAUCAUCCUUAGGGUAUGUAGUUUCAAAAAGGUAUCCGAUGACCCCGCCCAAAAAAUCAAGAUGGCCGCCAUGUCUAAAAAUAGAACAUUGUGGUAAAAUGUAGAUUUCAGCUUAUAUCUCUGAAACUAAAGCAUUUAGUUCUGGGAUAAAAAUAUUCAUCAAG
This 292-nucleotide long non-coding RNA is filed under the name Mytilus galloprovincialis (Mediterranean mussel). Lineage: Eukaryota; Metazoa; Mollusca; Bivalvia; Mytilida; Mytilidae. The record is from RNAcentral.